Poecilia latipinna (sailfin molly) is the source of this 331-nucleotide long non-coding RNA. RefSeq lists it as uncharacterized. NCBI's taxonomy places the organism in Eukaryota, Metazoa, Chordata, Actinopteri, Cyprinodontiformes, Poeciliidae. The transcript has 3 exons. The record is from RefSeq and is a predicted model, not a curated record.
UAAUCAGAGGGUGAACACACAGUUAGACAUGUUGAUGCUUCCCUUGUUGGCGUCUUUAUACGCGUUUUCUUGCUAAAAACAAAUUCACACCUCUUGGGACUUUUCCCACAUGUUGCCAAAGCAUACCCGCAAAAUUUAGUUGCAUUAUGCGUGGAUUUUCUGCAGUAGAUCAACACAAAGCGGUGCAUAUUUGUAAAGUGUGUCUGUCACAAAUAAAAAGAAAAAAAUUGAAGCCCAACAAAGUUUGUGGUUGCAAGUUGAUGAAACGUGACAAAGCUCAGAGGAUGGACAGUUUUGUGUGUGUAACUAGAAAGUUUAAUCUCUGUAUGCA